AUGACUAGGGAUAACCUUAGGAAGAGACACAUCAUCAAACCCCUUGAUUGUGUUUACUGCUUGGAACAAGAGUCUUGUUCUCACCUAUUUUUUGAAUGUAUAGUUGCUAAACAUAUCUGGGCCCACAUUGAGGAAUAUUUCCCUAGUCAGAUUGGCUCAUCCUUCGAAUAUGUCGCCAGAUUCUGGAUUGCUACCAAAGAGUGCUGAGUUUUAAACACUGUUAGCUCAGCUGUCCUUUGGUGCCUAUGGAAAUAUAGAAAUGCUAUGAUUUUCAGUAACACCUCCUGGAUUUCCAUUCCGCAGGUCUUGAGGUUGAUCAGGAACAUGGUGAGGAACUGGGCGAUUCUCUCCUCCGGAUCGGACAAGGACAAGUUGACGAGCUUUGUGGAAACCCUAACAAGAUCCCACCAGAAACUGUUGGCGAUCACUUGUGGCUGA
Molecule: ribosomal RNA, 438 nt
Filed under: Triticum aestivum (bread wheat)
Lineage: Eukaryota; Viridiplantae; Streptophyta; Magnoliopsida; Poales; Poaceae
Description: partial small subunit ribosomal RNA
Source: RNAcentral